UAGAAGAUUCCAUGUUCAAGAAAAAGAAAGGGUCUCCUAUUCAUACUCGAUGCCGAUUCAUUACUCUUGCAACAUAUGUAUUUUGCAGUUAGUAAUUGAAC
Long non-coding RNA from Cucurbita maxima (winter squash), 101 nucleotides. RefSeq lists it as uncharacterized. The record is from RefSeq and is a predicted model, not a curated record. The transcript is spliced from 3 exons. Lineage: Eukaryota; Viridiplantae; Streptophyta; Magnoliopsida; Cucurbitales; Cucurbitaceae.